UAGGGGAGCCGUAGGGAAACCGAGUCUUAACUGGGCGUCAUAGUUGCUAGGAUUAGACCCGAAACCGAGUGAUCUAGCCAUGGGCAGGUUGAAGAUUGAGUAACAUCAAUUGGAGGACCGAACCGACUAAUGUUGAAAAAUUAGCGGAUGACUUGUGGCUAGGGGUGAAAGGCCAAUCAAACUCGGAGAUAGCUGGUUCUCCCCGAAAGCUAUUUAGGUAGCGCCUCGGACGAAUACUACUGGGGGUAGAGCACUGUUAAGGCUAGGGGGUCAUCCCGACUUACCAACCCUUUGCAAACUCCGAAUACCAGUAAGUACUAUCCGGGAGACACACGGCGGGUGCUAACGUCCGUCGUGAAGAGGGAAACAACCCAGACCGCCAGCUAAGGUCCCAAAGUUAUAGCUAAGUGGGAAACGAUGUGGGAAGGCUCAGACAGCCAGGAUGUUGGCUUAGAAGCAGCCAUCAUUUAAAGAAAGCGUAAUAGCUCACUGGUCGAGUCGGCCUGCGCGGAAGAUUUAACGGGGCUAAGCUAUACACCGAAGCUGCGGCAAUGUGCUAUGCACAUUGGGUAGGGGAGCGUUCUGUAAGCCGUUGAAGGUGCAUUGUAAAGUGUGCUGGAGGUAUCAGAAGUGCGAAUGCUGACAUGAGUAACGACAAAGGGAGUGAAAAACUCCCUCGCCGGAAGACCAAGGGUUCCUGUCCAACGUUAAUCGGGGCAGGGUGAGUCGACCCCUAAGGCGAGGCCGAAAGGCGUAGUCGAUGGGAAACGGGUUAAUAUUCCCGUACUUCUUACUAUUGCGAUGGGGGGACGGAGAAGGCUAGGUGAGCCUGGCGACGGUUGUCCAGGUCCAAGUACGUAGGUGGAUGAAUUAGGCAAAUCCGGUUCAUCACUAACACUGAGAUACGAUGUCGAGCUACUACGGUAGCGAAGUCAUUGAUGCCAUGCUUCCGGGAAAAGCCUCUAAGCUUCAGAUAGUAAGAAAUCGUACCCCAAACCGACACAGGUGGUCGGGUAGAG
RNAcentral lists this ribosomal RNA (1019 nucleotides) under Photobacterium damselae. Its description in RNAcentral is "bacterial LSU rRNA". It matches the Rfam family "Bacterial large subunit ribosomal RNA", at positions 658 to 1676 of the family's 2925-position model. The record is from RNAcentral. Lineage: Bacteria; Pseudomonadati; Pseudomonadota; Gammaproteobacteria; Vibrionales; Vibrionaceae.